This 30-nucleotide non-coding RNA is filed under the name Rattus norvegicus (Norway rat). The record is from RNAcentral. Lineage: Eukaryota; Metazoa; Chordata; Mammalia; Rodentia; Muridae.
GUGGUGGUGGUGGUGGUGGUGGUGGUCUGU